RNAcentral lists this ribosomal RNA (244 nucleotides) under uncultured bacterium. Its description in RNAcentral is "partial 16S ribosomal RNA". It matches the Rfam family "Bacterial small subunit ribosomal RNA", at positions 976 to 1222 of the family's 1533-position model. The record is from RNAcentral.
UGGGUUUGACAUGUUCCUGACCCCCCUGGAAACAGGGGUUCCCUUCGGGGCAGGAUCACAGGUGGUGCAUGGCUGUCGUCAGCUCGUGUCGUGAGAUGUUGGGUUAAGUCCCGCAACGAGCGCAACCCCCGUCGUAUGUUGCCAGCAUUUAGUUGGGGACUCAUACGAGACUGCCGGUGACAAACCGGAGGAAGGUGGGGAUGACGUCAAGUCAUCAUGCCCCUUAUGUCCAGGGCUACACACG